UGGGAGAUAUUGCACAAUGGGCGCAAGCCUGAUGCAGCCAUGCCGCGUGUAUGAAGAAGGCCUUCGGGUUGUAAAGUACUUUCAGCGAGGAGGAAGGCGUUGUGGUUAAUAACCGCAGCGAUUGACGUUACUCGCAGAAGAAGCACCGGCUAACUCCGUGCCAGCAGCCGCGGUAAUACGGAGGGUGCAAGCGUUAAUCGGAAUUACUGGGCGUAAAGCGCACGCAGGCGGUCUGUCAAGUCGGAUGUGAAAUCCCGGGCUCAACCUGGGAACUGCAUCCGAAACUGGCAGGCUAGAGUCUUGUAGAGGG
This 310-nucleotide ribosomal RNA is filed under the name uncultured Enterobacteriaceae bacterium. RNAcentral describes it as "bacterial SSU rRNA". It matches the Rfam family "Bacterial small subunit ribosomal RNA", at positions 355 to 658 of the family's 1533-position model. The record is from RNAcentral. Lineage: Bacteria; Pseudomonadati; Pseudomonadota; Gammaproteobacteria; Enterobacterales; Enterobacteriaceae.